Molecule: ribosomal RNA, 453 nt
Filed under: Paramunida evexa
Lineage: Eukaryota; Metazoa; Arthropoda; Malacostraca; Decapoda; Munididae
Description: partial 16S ribosomal RNA
Rfam family: Bacterial large subunit ribosomal RNA
Source: RNAcentral
CUGUGCAAAGGUAGCAUAAUCAUUAGCUUUUUAAUUGAAGGCUUGUAUGAAGGGUCUGACAAAGAAAAAGCUGUCUUUAAUUUUAUUUUUGAAAUUAACUUUUAAGUGAAAAGGCUUAAGUGUGUUUAAGGGACGAUAAGACCCUAUAAAUCUUUAUAUUAGAUUUUUAUGUUGGAGAUUAAUAAUUUGUCUAGAUUACCAAGUAAAUAAUAGAUAUUUUGUUGGGGUGACAAGAAUAUAAAAUUAACUGUUCUAAUAUAAAACAAAGUUGUUUGUUUAAAAUAAAUAAAGAUCCUUUAUUAAAGAUUAAAAGUUUAAGUUACUUUAGGGAUAACAGCGUUAUUUUUUUUGAGAGUUCCUAUCGAAAAAAAAGUUUGCGACCUCGAUGUUGAAUUAAAAUUUCUCUACGGUGUAGAAGUUGUGGGAGAAAGUCUGUUCGACUUUUGAAAUUUU